This 253-nucleotide ribosomal RNA is filed under the name uncultured bacterium. RNAcentral's name for it is "partial 16S ribosomal RNA". It matches the Rfam family "Bacterial small subunit ribosomal RNA", at positions 524 to 776 of the family's 1533-position model. The record is from RNAcentral.
GACAGAGGGGCCGAGCGUUAGGCGGAAUCACUGGGCUUAAAGCGUGUGUAGGCGGAUCGUUAAGUACCUUGUGAAAUCCCACGGCUUAACCGUGGAACUGCUGGGUAUACUGGCGAUCUUGAGGUGCUCAGGGGCGAGCGGAACAGAUGGUGGAGCGGUGAAAUGCGUAGAUAUCAUCUGGAACGCCUGCGGUGAAAACGGCUCGCUGGGAGCAAUCUGACGCUGAGACACGAAAGCCAGGGGAGCGAACGGG